This 487-nucleotide ribosomal RNA is filed under the name uncultured bacterium. RNAcentral's name for it is "bacterial SSU rRNA". It matches the Rfam family "Bacterial small subunit ribosomal RNA", at positions 28 to 507 of the family's 1533-position model. The record is from RNAcentral.
GAUAAACGCUAGCGGCAGGCCUAACACAUGCAAGUCGAGGGGCAUCAGGAAGAAGCUUGCUUUCUUGCUGGCGACCGGCGCACGGGUGAGUAACACGUAUCCAACCUGCCCUUUACUCGGGGAUAGCCUUUCGAAAGAAAGAUUAAUACCCGAUAGUAUAAUGAUUCCGCAUGGUUUCAUUAUUAAAGGAUUCCGGUAAAGGAUGGGGAUGCGUUCCAUUAGGUUGUUGGUGAGGUAACGGCUCACCAAGCCUUCGAUGGAUAGGGGUUCUGAGAGGAAGGUCCCCCACAUUGGAACUGAGACACGGUCCAAACUCCUACGGGAGGCAGCAGUGAGGAAUAUUGGUCAAUGGGCGAGAGCCUGAACCAGCCAAGUAGCGUGAAGGAUGAAGGUCCUACGGAUUGUAAACUUCUUUUAUACGGGAAUAAAGUAUCCUACGUGUAGGAUUUUGUAUGUACCGUAUGAAUAAGCAUCGGCUAACUCCGUG